RNAcentral lists this long non-coding RNA (517 nucleotides) under Pan troglodytes (chimpanzee). RNAcentral's name for it is "long non-coding RNA NONPTRT013714". Lineage: Eukaryota; Metazoa; Chordata; Mammalia; Primates; Hominidae. The record is from RNAcentral.
UUUCUUAAAACUUGUUUCAGCUUACAAGGUUUCAGGAACAGGACAGUUUUUGUUUUUAGUUAGAGAAUUGCAGCCAAAUAAUGCAGGAAGUUAGUAGAAUUCAGAAUCUACUAUAGUCUACAGGUAGAUAAUUUAUUUUGUAGUGUACAAAUUGGUGACAUUAAUCACAUUCACAAUAUUGUGCAACCAUCAUCACUAUCUAUCUCAAAAUGUUUUCAUCAUCUCAAACAGAUAUUUAGUAACCUUUAAGCAAUAACUCCUUAAUGACCCCUCACCUUUGCCCCAGUAAUCCCUAGUUUACUUACACAUUUUUCCGUUCAAUAUUUCAUAAAAUUGCAAUAAUAAUAAUUGUCCCCUUUUAUCUUGCUUAUUUCACUAACAUAAUGUUUUCAAGGUUCAUCCUUGUUGUAACAUGCAUCAGAGGUAUUUCUUUUUACGGCUGAAUAAUAUUCCACUGUGAGCAUAUACCACAUUUUGAUUCAUCAUUCAACUAUUGAUAGAUACUAGAGUCAUUUCC